This 261-nucleotide ribosomal RNA is filed under the name uncultured archaeon. RNAcentral's name for it is "partial 16S ribosomal RNA". It matches the Rfam family "Archaeal small subunit ribosomal RNA", at positions 748 to 1008 of the family's 1478-position model. The record is from RNAcentral.
CAGCCGUAAACUAUGCGCGUUAGGUGUACUGGUGACCACGAGUCACCGGGGUGCCGAAGGGAAACCGUGAAACGUGCCGCCUGGGAAGUACGGUCGCAAGGCUGAAACUUAAAGGAAUUGGCGGAGGAGCACCACAACGGGUGGAGCCUGCGGUUUAAUUGGACUCAACGCCGGAAAUCUCACCGGAUAGGACAGACAUAUGAUAGUCGGGCUGAAGACUCUACUUGAUGAUCUGAGAGGUGGUGCAUGGCGUCAGUGACU